RNAcentral lists this ribosomal RNA (433 nucleotides) under uncultured bacterium. RNAcentral describes it as "partial 16S ribosomal RNA". It matches the Rfam family "Bacterial small subunit ribosomal RNA", at positions 29 to 507 of the family's 1533-position model. The record is from RNAcentral.
AACGAACGCUGGCGGCAUGCCUAACACAUGCAAGUCGAACGAGACCUUCUGGUCUAGUGGCGCACGGGUGCGUAACGCGUGGGAACCUGCCCUUAGGUUCGGAAUAACUCCCCGAAAGGGGUGCUAAUACCGGAUAAUGUCUUCGGACCAAAGAUUUAUCGCCUUUGGAUGGGCCCGCGUUGGAUUAGCUAGUUGGUAGGGUAAAAGCCUACCAAGGCGACGAUCCAUAGCUGGUCUGAGAGGAUGAUCAGCCACACUGGGACUGAGACACGGCCCAGACUCCUACGGGAGGAAGCAGUGGGGAAUAUUGGACAAUGGGCGAAAGCCUGAUCCAGCAAUGCCGCGUGAGUGAUGAAGGCCUUAGGGUUGUAAAGCUCUUUUACCCGGGAUGAUAAUGACAGUACCGGGAGAAUAAGCUCCGGCUAACUCCGUG